Long non-coding RNA from Carya illinoinensis, 569 nucleotides. RefSeq lists it as uncharacterized. The transcript is spliced from 2 exons. Lineage: Eukaryota; Viridiplantae; Streptophyta; Magnoliopsida; Fagales; Juglandaceae. The record is from RefSeq and is a predicted model, not a curated record.
GGUUUGAAAAGUAUUUUUACACUGAGCCAGUAAUAAUGUGCCACGUAUGCACUUUAUGAAAAUCCAAAAUUGAGCCGUACACAUCUAAACCCCUCUCUGCCCCUCCCCCUUCCGUCUGUAACCCGAUUUUCCCAAGCCACGCCCUUUCUCUCCUAACAAUUCCACACCACAAAGCUAGAGGUAGCAACCCAAACACCGUUCCUGCUCCUCACAAUAUUCAACACUACGCCGCUCUCUCUCCAGGGAUGGGGGAAGGCGUGGUUUGGGAGAGAAAGGGUCACUAGGAGGGCAUGGCUUGCCAAUAAAAUUAUGCUUAUUAUUGUUGCCGCUGGGAGAGAAAGGGCAUGACUUGGGAGAAUCGGGCUACUGAGGGAUGGGAGAGGGGGAGAGAGGGGUUUGGAUGUGUGCGGCUCUACUUUGAAUUUUCAUAAAGUGCCUAUAUGGCACAUUAUUAUUGGCCCAGUGUAAAAAUGCUUUUUAAACCUGUCCGGCCUCUAGCUUUUCUCUAUGCACAAUCAUAUAUAUUUUUAAAAAAUUAGAAUGAAACAAAGUCAUUUCGUUUUGGAAAA